UGACGUCAAGUCAUCAUGGCCCUUAUGUCCUGGGCUACACACGUGCUACAAUGGCCGGUACAGAGCGCAGCGAGGCCGCGAGGCGGAGCGAAUCGCUUAAAGCCGGUCCCAGUACGGAUUGGAGUCUGCAACCCGACUCCAUGAAGUUGGAAUCGCUAGUAAUCGCGCAUCAGCAUGGCGCGGUGAAUACGUUCCCGGGCCUU
Molecule: ribosomal RNA, 203 nt
Filed under: uncultured Spirochaeta sp.
Lineage: Bacteria; Pseudomonadati; Spirochaetota; Spirochaetia; Spirochaetales; Spirochaetaceae
Description: partial 16S ribosomal RNA
Rfam family: Bacterial small subunit ribosomal RNA
Source: RNAcentral